AGCAGCCGCGGUAAUUCCAGCUCCAAUAGCGUAUAUUAAAGUUGUUGCAGUUAAAAAGCUCGUAGUUGAAUUUCGGGGUCAGUAGGUUGGUCGUGCCACUGGUAUGCACUGGCCUCACUGAUUCCUCCUUCUUGUAGAACCGUAAUGCCAUUAGUUUGGUGUUGCGGGGAAACAGGACUGUUACUUUGAAAAAAUUAGAGUGUUUAAAGCAGGCUAACGCCUGAAUACAUUAGCAUGGAAUAAUGAAAUAGGACGUUCGAUCCUAUUUUGUUGGUUUCUAGGAUUGACGUAAUGAUUAAUAGGGAUAGUUGGGGGCAUUAGUAUUCAAUUGUCAGAGGUGAAAUUCUUGGAUUUAUUGAAGACUAACUACUGCGAAAGCAUUUGCCAAGGAUGUUUUCAUUAAUCAAGAACGAAAGUUAGGGGAUCGAAGACGAUCAGAUACCGUCGUAGUCUUAACCAUAAACUAUGCCGACUAGGGAUCGGAUGAUGUUAAUUUUUAAUGACUCAUUCGGCGCCUUAC
RNAcentral lists this ribosomal RNA (520 nucleotides) under uncultured Glomus. RNAcentral describes it as "SSU rRNA". It matches the Rfam family "Eukaryotic small subunit ribosomal RNA", at positions 569 to 1091 of the family's 1831-position model. The record is from RNAcentral. Lineage: Eukaryota; Fungi; Glomeromycota; Glomeromycetes; Glomerales; Glomeraceae.